GACGAACGCUGGCGGCGUGCUUAACACAUGCAAGUCGAACGGAACGGCCCUUCGGGGUACUCGAGUGGUGAACGGGGGGGUAAAACGUGGCUGUUCUGCCCUGCUCUCUGGGAUAAGGCUGGGCUACUGGGGCUAAUACCGAAUAGGACCACGCGCUACAUGGUGUGUGGUGGAAAGCUUUUGCGGAGUGGGAUGGGAGCGGGGCCUAUUAGCUUGGUGGUGGGGUAAUGGUCUACCAAGGCGACGACCGGUCGCCCGGCUGGGAGGGUGACAGGCCACACUAGGCUGGAGAUACGGCCCAGACUCCUACGGGAGGCAACGGUGGGGAAGAGUGCACAAGGGGCGGGAGCCUGAUGCAGCGACGCCGCGUCGGGGAUGACGGCCUUCGGGUUGUAAACCACUGUCAUUUGGGACGAGGCGCUAGUGACGGUACCUAUAGAAGAAGCUCCGGCCAACUACGUG
This 462-nucleotide ribosomal RNA is filed under the name uncultured bacterium. RNAcentral's name for it is "partial 16S ribosomal RNA". It matches the Rfam family "Bacterial small subunit ribosomal RNA", at positions 28 to 507 of the family's 1533-position model. The record is from RNAcentral.